UGAAUACGAGACGCUAAGGCGUUGAAGUAGUGUAUGUCAUACUUCCAAGAAAAGCUUGCACUGUCAUAGAUAAAAAACGCCUGUACCAUAACCGACACAGGUGGGUAGGUAGAGUAUACUAAGGGGCGCGAGAUAACUCUCUCUAAGGAACUCGGCAAAAUAACUCCGUAACUUCGGGAGAAGGAGUGCCUUAUUUAUAAGGCUGCAAUAACAAGAUCCAAGCAACUGUUUAUCAAAAACACAGGUCUCCGCUAAGUCGUAAGACGAUGUAUGGGGGCUGACGCCUGCCCAGUGCCAGAAGGUUAAAGAAGUUGGUUAGCAAUAGCGAAGCUGAUAACUGAAGCCCUGGUGAACGGCGGCCGUAACUAUAACGGUCCUAAGGUAGCGAAAUUCCUUGUCGGGUGAGUUCCGACCCGCACGAAAGGCGUAAUGAUUUGGAUACUGUCUCGGAGAGGGGCUCGGUGAAAUAGACUUGUCUGUGAAGAUGCGGACUACCUGCACCAGGACAGAAAGACCCUAUGAAGCUUUACUGUAACUUGAAAUUGAAAUUGGACUUUAUUCGCGCAGUAUAGGUGGGAGGCGUUGAUUGUAAUCUUGCGGGAUUAUUGGAGCCAUCAGUGAGAUACCACCCUUGUAAUGUUAGAUUUCUAACUUUGAAUCAUUAUCUGGUCAAAGAACAGUUUCAGGCGGGCAGUUUGACUGGGGCGGUCGCCUCCUAAACGGUAACGGAGGCGUACAAAGGUUUCCUCUGAACGGUUAGAAAUCGUAUCUAGAGUGUAAAGGCAUAAGGAAGCUUGACUGUGAGACCUACAAGUCGAGCAGGGACGAAAGUCGGUCUUAGUGAUCUGACGGUACUGAGUGGAAAGGCCGUCACUCAACGGAUAAAAGUUACUCUAGGAUAACAGGCUGAUCUCCCCCAAGAGUUCACAUCGACGGGGAGGUUUGGCACCUCGAUGUCGGCUCAUCGCAUCCUGGGGCGGUAGUACGUCCCAAGGGUUGGGCUGUUCGCCCAUGAAAGCGGUACGCGAGCUGGGUUCAGAACGUCGUGAGACAGUUCGGUCCAUAUCCGGUGUAGGCGUUAGAAUAUUGAGAGGAGCCUUCUUUAGUACGAGAGGACCGAGAAGGACAUACCUCUGGUGUACCAGUUAUCGUGCCAACGGUAAACGCUGGGUAGCUAUGUAUGGAGUGGAUAACCGCUGAAAGCAUCUAAGUGGGAAGCCCACCUCAAGAUAAGUAUUCUCACCAA
This 1246-nucleotide ribosomal RNA is filed under the name metagenome. RNAcentral's name for it is "bacterial LSU rRNA". It matches the Rfam family "Bacterial large subunit ribosomal RNA", at positions 1564 to 2820 of the family's 2925-position model. The record is from RNAcentral.